RNAcentral lists this ribosomal RNA (446 nucleotides) under uncultured bacterium. Its description in RNAcentral is "partial 16S ribosomal RNA". It matches the Rfam family "Bacterial small subunit ribosomal RNA", at positions 338 to 795 of the family's 1533-position model. The record is from RNAcentral.
CCUACGGGAGGCUGCAGUCGAGAAUCAUUCACAAUGGGGGAAACCCUGAUGGUGCGACGCCGCGUGGGGGAAUGAAGGUCUUCGGAUUGUAAACCCCUGUCAUGUGGGAGCAAAUUAAAAAGAUAGUACCACAAGAGGAAGAGACGGCUAACUCUGUGCCAGCAGCCGCGGUAAUACAGAGGUCUCAAGCGUUGUUCGGAAUCACUGGGCGUAACGCGUGCGUAGGCUGUUUCGUAAGUCGUGUGUGAAAGGCGCGGGCUCAACCCGCGGACGGCACAUGAUACUGCGAGACUAGAGUAAUGGAGGGGGAACCGGAAUUCUCGGUGGAGCAGUGAAAUGCGUAGAUAUCGAGAGGAACACUCGUGGCGAAGGCGGGUUCCUGGACAUUAACUGACGCUGAGGCACGAAGGCCAGGGGAGCGAAAGGGAUUAGAUACCCUUGUAGUC